GACGAACGCUGGCGGCGUGCUUAACACAUGCAAGUCGAACGGAAAGGCCCUGCUUUUGUGCGGUUCUCGAUUGGCGAACGGGUGAGUAACACGUGUGUAACCUGCCCUUGACUUUGGGAGAACUUCAGGAAACUGGGGCUAAUACCGGAUAGGAUCUUCUGCUGCAUGGUGGGGGUUGGAAAGUUUCGGCGGUUGGGGAUGGACUCGCGGCUUAUCAGCUUGUUUGUGGGGUAGGUGCUUACCAAGGCUUUGAAGGGUAGGCGGCCUGGGAGGGUGGACGGGCACCUUGGGCCUGAGGUAGGGACCAGACUGCAACGGGGGGCAACAGUGGGAAAUAUUACACAAUGGGCCGAAGUGUGAUAAGGAAACGUUCGGUGCGGAAAGCCCGCCUUUGGGUUAUAAACAGCUUUCGCCUGUGACGAAGCGUGAGUGACGGUAAUGAGUAAAGAAGCACCGGCUAACUACGUG
This 468-nucleotide ribosomal RNA is filed under the name uncultured bacterium. Its description in RNAcentral is "partial 16S ribosomal RNA". It matches the Rfam family "Bacterial small subunit ribosomal RNA", at positions 28 to 507 of the family's 1533-position model. The record is from RNAcentral.